GAGCUUAUAGUUCAAUGGUGGAACCCGUUGCUCAUAACGACGUAGUUGUAGGUUCGAGUCCUGCUAAGCUCA
This 72-nucleotide transfer RNA is filed under the name Prototheca zopfii. Its description in RNAcentral is "tRNA-Ile". It matches the Rfam family "tRNA". Rfam says of the family: Transfer RNA (tRNA) molecules are approximately 80 nucleotides in length. Their secondary structure includes four short double-helical elements and three loops (D, anti-codon, and T loops). The record is from RNAcentral. Lineage: Eukaryota; Viridiplantae; Chlorophyta; Trebouxiophyceae; Chlorellales; Chlorellaceae.